This 64-nucleotide transfer RNA is filed under the name Cavia porcellus (domestic guinea pig). It matches the Rfam family "tRNA", at positions 1 to 62 of the family's 71-position model. From Rfam's summary of the family: Transfer RNA (tRNA) molecules are approximately 80 nucleotides in length. Their secondary structure includes four short double-helical elements and three loops (D, anti-codon, and T loops). Lineage: Eukaryota; Metazoa; Chordata; Mammalia; Rodentia; Caviidae. The record is from Rfam by way of RNAcentral.
GGGGAUUUAGCUCAGUGGCAUAAGUGCAUGCCUGGCAAGCAUGAGGUUAUGAGUUCGAUCCCCA